RNAcentral lists this ribosomal RNA (470 nucleotides) under uncultured bacterium. Its description in RNAcentral is "bacterial SSU rRNA". It matches the Rfam family "Bacterial small subunit ribosomal RNA", at positions 28 to 507 of the family's 1533-position model. The record is from RNAcentral.
GACGAACGCUGGCGGCGUGGAUUAGGCAUGCAAGUCGGACGGUAGGGCUUUAUCGUAAGAUAGAGUUUGAGAGUGGCGAACGGGUGAGUAACACGUAGGAAUCUACCCUUAAGACGGGGACAACCCAGGGAAACUUGGGCUAAUACCGGAUGAGAGUGCGAGAGAUUGCAUUUAAAAGGAUGGCGAAAGUUGUCGCUUAGGGAUGAGCCUGCGGUCUAUUAGUUAGUUGGUGAGGUAAGAGCUCACCAAGGCGAUGAUAGAUAGGCGGCCUUAACGGGUGGUCGCCCACACUGGGAUUGAGAUACGGCCCAGACUCCUACGGGAGGCAGCAGUCGAGAAUAGUCUACAAUGGCCGGAAGGCUGAUAGUGCGACGCCGCGUGAAGGAAGAAGGCCCUCGGGUUGUAAACUUCUUUGACCAGGGACGAAGAAAGUGACGGUACCUGGAGAACAAGCCACGGCUAACUACGUG